Molecule: long non-coding RNA, 394 nt
Filed under: Mytilus galloprovincialis (Mediterranean mussel)
Lineage: Eukaryota; Metazoa; Mollusca; Bivalvia; Mytilida; Mytilidae
Source: RNAcentral
CAUGUUUAACUGAUAUAUUGACGAUUUCAGAAUAGUUCGUCCCUACAUCGUUGUUCUUGAAACUAUCUUUACUAGUAUACAUGUAAGUUUCCUGACGUAUAAGCGCCAUUGAGGAUAAGCUCAUGAGAUAGCAGACUAGUAUAGUGUUUCGUUAGUUUGUUUGUUGGGAAAGAAGAGGACAUGCAACCACUUGUACAGAUAAACAGCAGUAUCACCAUACAAGCUUUUAUAGUCAACACUAUAAGAAAGAGUUCCCGUCGUCGGACGGAAAAUAUGAAGGCUUCCAAGAAUGAACAAGCGACAUGUCUUACUCUGAACAGUUAGUAAACGGACUUUAAUACAAUGAUCUAUAGACAUCGACCGUUUGUUCUUGAUAUUUGAAACUGCAUGCAUG